RNAcentral lists this ribosomal RNA (725 nucleotides) under uncultured marine microorganism. RNAcentral's name for it is "bacterial SSU rRNA". It matches the Rfam family "Bacterial small subunit ribosomal RNA", at positions 8 to 780 of the family's 1533-position model. The record is from RNAcentral.
AGAGUUUGAUCAUGGCUCAGGAUGAACGCUGGCGGCGUGCUUAACACAUGCAAGUCGGACGAACCUUCGGGUUAGUGGCGGACGGGUGAGUAACGCGUGAGAAUCUGCCCUCAGGAGGGGGAUAACGGUUGGAAACGACCGCUAAUACCCCAUAUGCCUAUUGGUGAAAUGAAUUUCGCCUGAGGAUGAGCUCGCGUCUGAUUAGCUAGUUGGUGUGGUAAUGGCUCACCAAGGCUUCGAUCAGUAGCUGGUCUGAGAGGAUGAUCAGCCACACUGGGACUGAGACACGGCCCAGACUCCUACGGGAGGCAGCAGUGGGGAAUUUUCCGCAAUGGGCGAAAGCCUGACGGAGCAACGCCGCGUGAGGGACGAAGGCCUCUGGGCUGUAAACCUCUUUUCUCAAGGAAGAAGAUAUGACGGUACUUGAGGAAUAAGCCACGGCUAAUUCCGUGCCAGCAGCCGCGGUAAUACGGGAGUGGCAAGCGUUAUCCGGAAUUAUUGGGCGUAAAGCGUCCGCAGGCGGCUUUUCAAGUCUGCUGUUAAAACGUGGAGCUUAACUCCAUCAUGGCAGUGGAAACUGAAAGGCUUGAGUAUGGUAGGGGCAGAGGGAAUUCCCGGUGUAGCGGUGAAAUGCGUAGAUAUCGGGAAGAACACCAGUGGCGAAGGCGCUCUGCUGGGCCAUUACUGACGCUCAUGGACGAAAGCCAGGGGAGCGAAAGGGAUUA